UGUCGGCACGCUGCCGGUUUGGAGAAACAGACAAGAGUACUGCCACAGAAGCUAAGCAAGCUAGUGCUGUGGAGGGGUCAGAGGGGUUAAGUGUACCCUAUAUUUAGUACAUUUUCACUGCUUAACCUUCCUGUCAGGCAGCUUUUUCUGACAGGUGACUGAAGCCACGUCGCUCUCUUCACAGCCAGACUCCAGUGAGAAAAUGGAUUUAACACCACUGAACACAGGAGCUGCUGGUCCAUCGCUGCCUCAAUCGGUGGAUGGAAACACACUGGCUAGCAAUCUACACCAGUGCUUCUCAAUCUUAGACCACAACAACCCUCCACAGGACAUGAGGAUGUAGAGAGGCUGGAUUGAGUCCUGGUGCAGCUUGAGGUUGUCCCACAGGAUCUGGAUCAACACGUGUUUACUGUCCUCCGACAUCCAGUGACGAGGGACCUGACAAGAGAAAGAGAGUUACUGUGAGUCAGUCGUGUCAUUUACAGACAGGAUACCCAUUUCCACUGUCGCCUGUGUCACUGCAUUUAACCAACACUACAUCAUUAUUGACCUGGGAGUCUGUGUUGCAGUGCUCAGAGGUGAGGAUGAGACCGGGCAGGUUGCUGGGCAGGUCCAGUCGUCUGAAGUACCACACCAGGUUCCAGUAGAUGAUGGGAUGGUGGUCCACCAUGUCGGCCUCUGUGAUCACCGGGUCGCCCUCAUUCUCCAGCAGACUCUCCAGCUCCUUCCACAGCACCAGCGGGCUCAGGUAGGGAACCGUCACUGGCUCGGGGUUGUGGAGCCGCCACUCCAUACUCAGCGGGUCCUGGGUGGGACAAAAAUGAUCGAGGUGAGAUUUCUAAUUGUCUUAUGUAAAUGAGCUGCUGCUGAGCUCUGUAAAAUGUCUGGUACCUUGUCAGGAUCACAGGCUGUGAAUAAAAGUAGACACAGCGAGGAGACUGUUCUUAACUUCACUCCCUCCGUGUAUUUUUAAUGUGGACAGGGCAGUUAAAAUGAGGGAAAAUGUGAAGUCAAGUUGGACUUAAACCAUAAAACCUGAUCUAAGCCUAGACGACCUGGCAAUCACUCACAGUACCAGCAGUAAUGCAGCCCCAUAGUAGUAUAAUAGUAGUGAAUGACUCAAAUACUCCGACAUGUUUACGUCUGUACCAUGGCUUCAUUGAGACGGCUGGGCAGGCUGCCUGACGUCGGCAUACAGCGGUUGACUCGGGAAGCUUCGUCCAGAGGACCGAAGGCGCUGACACUGCGAGCCAUGGGCGCUCCGGGAGACAGCGACCCCUGCCGGCGCUCUGAGGGGAUGUUGAUACCUUGAGCCCUGGUUGAUCGAGUCCUGUAAGGACACGGGGACAGUCAGUUUGUGUCAUCAACAUUUAAAACAUCAUAAUUAUUCCUGAGGAAAGGGUGUUUCUAGUUUGCAACACAGUGAGUCAAGGUGUAGUGUAGUUUUACUAUUUUAUAAAAAGGUAACACAGACAACACAGAAUCCAGAUAUUCAAAUCACAAACACAAAAACAAAACACAACUUUUGUUGCCUGAUAUUUAGGCACCAGGAUAUCAUGCACUGUUCAUCCCUGUUGCUCACACAUUUCAUAACCAUAUGAGGGUUUAAACAACCAUGUGUUCUCUCUGUUCCCGACACUCACACACACACACUCACUCACACACGCACACACACACAGAGCUUUGUUUGGACCAGGUGCUGUAGACCAUCUCACAUCGCUGUUUUACAAUGCAGAUAGGGAGCAUGUGGACGCAGCUACAGUGGGUUCCUACUUCAAAAGCAUUGUGUAAUCAGACAAACUGGGAGCUGAAUGAAGACGAACUGAAAAAGGUGUCAUACAGAAUAUCUGAGAAAAGUUUUUUUUUUCUCCUAAAAAUGUCAGGUUUUCUGCUUGUAUUAAAUCUUCUCUGCUGCCUUCCCACCAAACCAGUCUGAACUACAACUUAUUAAAUACUACAGCUAACAAAACAGAAAACUUAUAAAUGUUAGGACCAGCAUGAACAUAAAUGAAGAAUGUGCAGUAACACUGGGAGACAGUGAGUACCUUCCAGCCCCUGAGCACUCCUGGACAGCGAUCACAGGGGACGGAGGAAAGACUGCAGUUGUAGGACAGGGGGUGGACAAGGUGGACGUCCCCGUGUCCAAACCUGUGGAGGCAGAGUACGACGAGGUCAUUGCCUCGUCCACUGAUGGGCUGCCCUUCAGGAAAAGCCUGCGGAGAGGAGAAGAAAGGGGGGAAUUACAUUUAUAUCCAGGGAAGUCAAGUCAGGUGUUAAUUUUCUGCAGGCCAGAAUAAUUUAUUUUAUGAGAUGGUUUACUGUCCAGCAGGGGCAGAAAUUAUUAAGGAGUAAAAUGCAUCUUAUUGAGACUCAAAGUCUCAUUUUUAUUACAGGCACUGAAAACCUAGGGUUCAUCUCAAUGCCUGAUCUCGCAUCCACGUUUCCCUCUUCGUUGCCUCUUCCUUGUGUCUUAGCUCUGCCCUCAUAAAACACAGGGGAGAGAUGCGAGGCUGAGACGCGAGGAGAGAAGAAACAAGGAGAUUUGUCUUUAGAGAAAUGAGACGUCCUUUCCUCUAAAGCGUCACAUGAAGCCACGUCCGUUUCUGAUGACAGCAGCAGCUGAUCACAGCUAGAUCAGCUGGCAGGAGGCUUUAUUAACAGCUAUAGAAACUUUUAAUUGAGUUUGUGACUGCACACACAUAAUGUUAUAUGUUAUAUGUACAUCCUCUUCAGUUCUUCUGCAGUCCAGAACUGAAGAAGCCUCUUGGAUUAGAGGUGACACAUCUUCAAGAAACUCAAGCAAGUCAAAGUUGCCUACAAUAUAGCACUUAAGAUUACCAUGACUUGGAUAACUAAGAAUCUUCACCAACAAGUACGAAAAAUCUUAUAUCUGGAGGGGAAAAAUAAAAUACAGUACAAAGAAACACAGUACAAAGAGGAGAAUGGCUUCAUCCACUGAGGUUUAAAUGCUACAGAUCUUUUGAUAAUUUGGCAAUGUGCAAUAAAAACGUAUUAUUCCAUAUUUGACCUAGAAAAGGCAAUCACAUAAAAACAAAUACAAUAUAAUUACCGCACCCCUCUGAAAAAAGGAAUUCAUAACUCUGUCACAAAAUUUAUUUUUUACAGCAGGUCAGCACUGCAGUGUCAUCAUCUACCUGCCGGGUCCUCGCAUAUCCCUGAUCUCCACGUUGAGGAAGGGCAGGAAGGGGUUUCCACAAAAGGGACAGGUGGUGUUCAGGUUGGAGUCGUCUGCUGUCCAGCCGGCCAUGAUCUCCUCAUCGUACACCAGGCAGUCACACGUCUUACAGCGAGAACAGCUGGAAAUCAGCAGCUGGAAGCACACACACACACACACACACACACACACACACACACAGAGGCAGGUGAGCUUACAGAUGAAAGGUGAUAAAGAUGUUAAAUAAUAUCUAAAUCACUUCUGAAAGCUGUUAUAUUGUAAAUGUAAAAAAUACUGUACAUGAUAACAUUUCUGAUUAGUGAUUAUGAGUACUUUUAAUUCUAUCCUAAAAUAUGCCUGCUGUUGUAGUAAAAGGCUGAUUCAACAAGACUUCACUGAACACAAUAAUGCAGUCUGCUGCUCUGCCCUCAGGUUUAUAUAUACUGUAGGUUUGAACUGUUGUAGCCAAAUAUACCACUGUAAUAAAAUAUUCUGCUGAGGGAGAAUAUUCAUGAUUAGCUUGCAGAGCAGUCUGCCAUUCCUGAAAGUUAUGAAAGCUUUUUCUGAAACUAUCAAUUUCUAGUGAAAUUCCAUCAGAGAAUUCAUUCCUGGCGACAUGACAUGGGCCAGCACCCACUUUAUAUCUUCGUAUCUUCAGCAGGAAGCCAAAGUGGAUGCAGAAAAAGCAUUUCAAUCCAAGAUGUCUGUAAAGUGGUUCUAAACAUUCAUUUUAUUUUUGUUAAAAUGUAAAUUUGUACAAAAAACAUUUUGUAUCAAACCAUCAUUUCUGGGUUCCUGACAUCCAGUUUUGAACUGUUGAACUGUACUUUUCUGCUUUCCAUCUUGCAGUUUUACCUCCAUGGCGUAGUUGUUGAAGAUGCUGGUGUUGCUGGUGUACCGUGACGAGCCGAGGUCCGACUUUUCUGGCAGAGGGAAGCCGGGGGGCGAGAGGACACAUUCUGCAGGAGUACGAAGGAUGAUUACAAUUUGUGACGAAACCACGAAAGCUGUUAAUGUCUCCUGUCACUGGAGCGAGGGUCGCUCUUACCAGGGAGCAGAGAUGAGGGUCUCCCGACGUUGGAGCCUGCAGGGGGGCUGUCCAGUCUGCUGCGGAGAGGGCUGCGUCUGGGGCUCCUGCGGGGUCCAUUCCUCGGUGGAGAGAUCACGGAGCCCUCUGACUCCCCACAGUCCGCCUCAUCCAACAGGGAAGAGCAGUCUGGAUCUCCAACACCGAGAGAGGACACACUCAGUCGGUCACUGUGACCGUCCUGAAGGAGCAGAGAAGAGCCAGGCAGACAUGCAGAAUGUUACUGAUCACAGUUACCUGACAGAGGGCUCUGGGUGAGGGGAGCAUGUCGUCGCAGCGCCCGUUUGAACUGU
Non-coding RNA from Epinephelus lanceolatus (giant grouper), 4555 nucleotides. The record is from RefSeq and is a predicted model, not a curated record. Lineage: Eukaryota; Metazoa; Chordata; Actinopteri; Perciformes; Serranidae.